UUCUUGACAGAUUUUUAACUGUUGCAUGUCCAUGUUCAACAUCAUCUAUUCAACUGGCAAUCUCACUACUCAGGAGUUGAAUAUGAGUAUCAUCAAAAGCCAUUCAACAAGUGCUCUGCUCAAAGUUAUGACAAUUCAUCUUUUGACAAUGCCAGUGAGCAGUUAUCUCAUGUCCAAUCCACAAAGAAUUGCACUCAUUUGAUCAUUGAUUUUGAGCCUCCUUCAGCUGCUGGCUAGUGGCUGUGGAUCUUGUAUGUGUAGGCAGCAGCUUUUUGUCAUUGAAUAUUUCAUGAAUUUGAGGGGAUUUGGCAGGAUGAUAGAGAGGGGAUUUGGCAGGUGGACUGUGUAUUACAGAGGUGUUUGAGGAUAGAGUUG
Molecule: small RNA, 375 nt
Filed under: Histoplasma capsulatum
Lineage: Eukaryota; Fungi; Ascomycota; Eurotiomycetes; Onygenales; Ajellomycetaceae
Also listed under: 1 other name
Description: hypothetical RNA
Source: RNAcentral